UACAUGGGGUGCAAACGUUGCUCGGAAUUACUGGGCGUAAAGGGCUCGUAGGCGGCCAACUAAGUCAGACGUGAAAUCCCUCGGCUUAACCGGGGAACUGCGUCUGAUACUGGAUGGCUCGAGUUUGGGAGAGGGAUGCGGAAUUCCAGGUGUAGCGGUGAAAUGCGUAGAUAUCUGGAGGAACACCGGUGGCGAAGGCGGCAUCCUGGACCAACACUGACGCUGAGGAGCGAAAGCCAGGGGAGCGAACGGG
Molecule: ribosomal RNA, 253 nt
Filed under: uncultured bacterium
Lineage: Bacteria
Description: partial 16S ribosomal RNA
Rfam family: Bacterial small subunit ribosomal RNA
Source: RNAcentral